UUUUUUCGCAAACAACUUUUUAUUAGACUGCUAUUCUAAUUUAUGGGUUUAUUUUGUAUUGAAAAUGAUUCAGCAGAAAAAAUACCGUCUUCUGUAACAAUUGCGUUUAUGAACUUGGGGGGGAUUACGUCGUAGCAAGGGAUAAAUGUAGCUAUUUGCGGUUUAGGUAAACUUUCCGAGUUUUCUGGAACAUAUUGGAGGUUAUCAGAUAUGCCUUGUUCAACGACUUCGUUGAAAACUGUUGAAUACUCAAAGUAAUUCUUUUCGCAUAGUUUAUAUGAUUCUGAAACGAUCAUUACAGGAAUGUGGUGUAUAUUUGCAAGCAUUGCAACAAGUGAUGAUCCAGAACGAUUCAUUACAUAUCCAUUAGAAAAUAUUGCACAAGAACCAAUAAUUACUUUGGUUGCGUACCUCAAAUGGUAGGCCAAACAAUUAAGUAAUGUAUAGGUUAUUUUUAUCCCCUUUAGAGAUAGUUUUUUAGCAAUGUCUUGACUACUGGAAUCAAGGUUGUUCUUUGAAUCAACGACAAUUAGUUGAAAGUUCUUGUUCAUUUCUGCAGCCUUAAAUAAUGAUUUGAUUACAGAGCUAGAAUUGGAAUAUGUAACUAUUACAUCGCCGUCAGUAAUAUAUUUGUUUGAAACUAAAUAUGAAAUUCUUUCACAUGCGUUCACAAUUCUUUGAUAAAUAUAAGUUUUUAUACUAGAAAUUAGUUGGUUUAUUAUUUCAUUUGGUGGGAGAGAUGGAUUAAUUUUGCAUAUUUGUUUUUUUAGCCAUUUAAUCACGUUCCCCAUCGCAAUGUUAUGUUGUCUCUGCGAUGUUAUAUAUGAGAUAUGCACGUCUAAAACCAUCUUUAAAUGCUUUUCAAUACUUUUGUAUGGAGGACAGUAAUAAUCCUCAAGCAUUUGCCCAAUGGCAAUUAGCAGGCAUUUACUCCUCAUAUUUGUACCAACAAUUUUCCUGUCUUUCAUUCUCAUUCCCAAUCUCAAAAUAGCAGGAUGGAUUUUAGACUGAUCCAGUAUCGAAAUAAAAGAGUGUGAAAUGGAAUUCCUACCGAAGUAUGGGCAUAUAGGACAAUUAAAUAUGUUUUGUACAAC
This 1094-nucleotide non-coding RNA is filed under the name Cryptosporidium parvum. Lineage: Eukaryota; Apicomplexa; Conoidasida; Eucoccidiorida; Cryptosporidiidae. The record is from RNAcentral.